RNAcentral lists this ribosomal RNA (318 nucleotides) under uncultured eukaryote. RNAcentral describes it as "partial 18S ribosomal RNA". It matches the Rfam family "Eukaryotic small subunit ribosomal RNA", at positions 1470 to 1796 of the family's 1831-position model. The record is from RNAcentral.
CGCUUAGAUGGUCUGGGCGGCACGCGCGCUACAAUGAUGCAUUCAGAAAGUCUUCUGACCUUAGAAGGUUGGGUAUUCUCCAAAGUGCAUCGUGAUGGGAAUAGUUUAUUGCAAUUUUUAAUCUUGAACGAGGAAUUUCUAGUAAAUACAGGUCAUCAACUUGUGUUGAUUACGUCCCUGCCCUUUGUACACACCGCCCGUCGCUCCUACCGAUUGAAUGUUCCGGUGAGCUCUUCGGACUGCGCGGUCUGCAGUUUCUGCGUUCCGUGCGGAAAGUUGCGCAAACCUUAACAUUUAGAGGAAGGAGAAGUCGUAACA